GACGAACGCUGGCGGCGUGCCUAAUACAUGCAAGUUGAGCGCUGAAGGUUGGUACUUGUGCCGACUGGAUGAGCAGCGAACGGGUGAGUAACGCGUGGGGAAUCUGCCUUUGAGCGGGGGACAACAUUUGGAAACGAAUGCUAAUACCGCAUAAAAACUUUAAACACAAGUUUUAAGUUUGAAAGAUGCAAUUGCAUCACUCAAAGAUGAUCCCGCGUUGUAUUAGCUAGUUGGUGAGGUAAAGGCUCACCAAGGCGAUGAUACAUAGCCGACCUGAGAGGGUGAUCGGCCACAUUGGGACUGAGACACGGCCCAAACUCCUACGGGAGGCAGCAGUAGGGAAUCUUCGGCAAUGGACGAAAGUCUGACCGAGCAACGCCGCGUGAGGGAAGAAGGUUUUCGGAUCGUAAAACUCUGUUGGUAGAGAAGAACGUUGGUGAGAGUGGAAAGCUCAUCAAGUGACGGUAACUACCCAGAAAGGGACGGCUAACUACGUG
This 497-nucleotide ribosomal RNA is filed under the name uncultured bacterium. RNAcentral describes it as "partial 16S ribosomal RNA". It matches the Rfam family "Bacterial small subunit ribosomal RNA", at positions 28 to 507 of the family's 1533-position model. The record is from RNAcentral.